CAGGAAGGGGUGGGAGCUGGUAGGGUUCUCCUUGCGGUUGGGUAUUGCUCUUGGGUUCAGCGGCGGACGGGUGAGUAAUGCCUAGGAAUCUGCCUGGUAGUGGGGGAUAACGUCCGGAAACGGGCGCUAAUACCGCAUACGUCAUGAGGGAGAAAGUGGGGGAUCUUCGGACCUCACGCUAUCAGAUGAGCCUAGGUCGGAUUAGCUAGUUGGUGGGGUAAAGGCCUACCAAGGCGACGAUCCGUAACUGGUCUGAGAGGAUGAUCAGUCACACUGGAACUGAGACACGGUCCAGACUCCUACGGGAGGCAGCAGUGGGGAAUAUUGGACAAUGGGCGAAAGCCUGAUCCAGCCAUGCCGCGUGUGUGAAGAAGGUCUUCGGAUUGUAAAGCACUUUAAGUUGGGAGGAAGGGCAGUAAGUUAAUACCUUGCUGUUUUGACGUUACCAACAGAAUAAGCACCGGCUAACUUCGUGCCAGCAGCCGCGGUAAUACGAAGGGUGCAAGCGUUAAUCGGAAUUACUGGGCGUAAAGCGCGCGUAGGUGGUUCAGCAAGUUGGAUGUGAAAUCCCCGGGCUCAACCUGGGAACUGCAUCCAAAACUACUGAGCUAGAGUACGGUAGAGGGUGGUGGAAUUUCCUGUGUAGCGGUGAAAUGCGUAGAUAUAGGAAGGAACACCAGUGGCGAAGGCGACCACCUGGACUGAUACUGACACUGAGGUGCGAAAGCGUGGGGAGCAAACAGGAUUAGAUACCCUGGUAGUCCACGCCGUAAACGAUGUCGACUAGCCGUUGGGAUCCUUGAGAUCUUAGUGGCGCAGCUAACGCGAUAAGUCGACCGCCUGGGGAGUACGGUCGCAAGGUUAAAACUCAAAUGAAUUGACGGGGGCCCGCAAAAGCGGUGGAGCAUGUGGAUUACUUCGAAUCAACGCUAAGAAUCGUUACCUGGCCCUUGACAUGCUGCAGAACGUUCCAGAGAUGGACUUGGUGCCUUUCUGUACGUCAAAAUACAAGAUGCUGCAAUGACUGACGUCAGCUCGUUUCGUGCAGAAUGUUAAGGUGAAGGUCCAAGUAACGAGGACCAUUCCCUCUUGAUCCUAGUUACGAUCGACUUCGGGCUGUCACCCUAGGCAACUGUCCGUGACUGAUCGGUGCAAGGUGAGCAUGAACGUCAAGUCAAUCAAU
Molecule: ribosomal RNA, 1183 nt
Filed under: Pseudomonas aeruginosa
Lineage: Bacteria; Pseudomonadati; Pseudomonadota; Gammaproteobacteria; Pseudomonadales; Pseudomonadaceae
Description: bacterial SSU rRNA
Rfam family: Bacterial small subunit ribosomal RNA
Source: RNAcentral